GAUUGAAGAACGCAGCGAAAUGCGAUAAGUAAUGUGAAUUGCAGAAUUCAGUGAAUCAUCGAAUCUUUGAACGCACAUUGCGCCCGCCAGUAUUCUGGCGGGCAUGCCUGUUCGAGCGUCAUUUCAACCCUCAGGCCCCCAGUGCCUGGUGUUGGGGAUCGGCCCAGCCUUCCUGUAAGGCCGCCGGCCCCGAAAUCUAGUGGCGGUCUCGCUGUAGUCCUCCUCUGCGUAGUAGCACAGCCUCGCAGUUGGAACGCGGCGGUGGCCAUGCCGUUAAACACCCCACUUCUGAAAGUUGACCUCGGAUCAGGUAGGAAUACCCGCUGAACUUAAGCAUAUCAAUAAGCGGAGGA
RNAcentral lists this unclassified non-coding RNA (353 nucleotides) under soil metagenome. Its description in RNAcentral is "partial contains 5.8S ribosomal RNA, internal transcribed spacer 2, and large subunit ribosomal RNA". The stretch from base 4 to 121 matches the Rfam family "5.8S ribosomal RNA", at positions 37 to 154 of the family's 154-position model. The record is from RNAcentral.